RNAcentral lists this small RNA (833 nucleotides) under Pongo abelii (Sumatran orangutan). Its description in RNAcentral is "processed transcript". The record is from RNAcentral. Lineage: Eukaryota; Metazoa; Chordata; Mammalia; Primates; Hominidae.
GAGACCCUUCUACCAGCCCAUCUUUGUCCCAGACUACACCAAGUAAAGAUACUGAUGAUCAGUCCAGGAAAAACAUGACUAGCAAGAACCGGGGCAAGAGGAAAGCUGAUGCCACUUCUUCCCAAGACAGUGAAUUAGAACGGGUAUUUCUAUGGGACUUGGAUGAAACCAUCAUCAUCUUCCAUUCACUUCUUACUGGAUCCUAUGCCCAGAAAUAUGGAAAGGACCCAACAGUAGUGAUUGGCUCAGGUUUAACAAUGGAAGAAAUGAUUUUUGAAGUGGCUGAUACUCAUCUAUUUUUCAAUGACUUAGAGGAGUGUGACCAGGUACAUGUGGAAGAUGUGGCUUCUGAUGACAAUGGCCAAGACUUGAGCAACUACAGUUUCUCAACAGAUGGUUUCAGUGGCUCAGGAGGUAGUGGCAGCCAUGGUUCAUCUGUGGGUGUUCAGGGAGGUGUGGACUGGAUGAGGAAACUAGCUUUCCGCUACCGGAAAGUGAGAGAAAUCUAUGAUAAGCAUAAAAGCAACGUGGGUGGUCUCCUCAGUCCCCAGAGGAAGGAAGCACUGCAGAGAUUAAGAGCAGAAAUUGAAGUUUUAACAGAUUCCUGGUUAGGAACUGCAUUAAAGUCCUUACUUCUCAUCCAGUCCAGAAAGAAUUGUGUGAAUGUUCUGAUCACUACCACCCAGCUGGUUCCAGCCCUGGCCAAGGUUCUCCUAUAUGGACUAGGAGAAAUAUUUCCUAUUGAGAACAUCUAUAGUGCUACCAAAAUUGGUAUGGUUUCUAUGCUGUUUCUUGUUACUGGCCUUGCAAUAAAACUUUCUACUCAUGAUGCA